Molecule: long non-coding RNA, 716 nt
Organism: Uranotaenia lowii
Lineage: Eukaryota; Metazoa; Arthropoda; Insecta; Diptera; Culicidae
Exons: 2
Source: RefSeq, a predicted model, not a curated record
CAGAUACUUCCAUCGCCUUCUGAAGGGCUAAAGCAUUAAAAAUAGAACUUCAAUGGACCUUUUAUGCGACAUCUUCUUGAAGGCAAUCAUAGUGUCUGCUAUGCUCUUUCUAACGAACCAUAAGAUCACAUCUGGAACCUUUAGGAGAAUUUCAAGCGAACUUUCAAUGCAAUUCGAUAAUUUAUAGUUUGUGAUAGCCAAGAGAAAGUGAGUUUCACCACCAGGAGGAAAAAUUGCUAACGGCCCUUGGCGAGCAUCAGCAACCGACCGGACCUGGUCAGGAAAAACUUAUAUCACCAUGGAUAUAAUGAAAACCAGGCAGUUCCGCCUGAGCGAGGCAAUUGUUACUCUUCAUCAAUCAUUUUCCCGUCUGCGAAAUAGGAAAUCCUUAUGGUCAAGACCGGUGUUCUUAAGCCUCCCAACCAGCUUUAAUGCGGAUCAUCAUCACCAAAUAUCCCAUUUCGAAAUUCCUAGAGAAUCCAAUCAAAGUCAGCAACUUUGACCGGGGAGGUAGUUCUUGUGGCAAGUAUUUUAAUCUGUGUUUGGCUAUGCUGGCGAUUUGGACACAUUCACAUGGUUCCGGAAGGCCGAGCCACUGGACAAGCAAUGGUUUGUCGCAAUUUUUUUUAUUUUAAAAUAUUGUGUGUAAAUUUUAUUGGUGUUGAAAAACGUGCGAUUGAAAAAAAACUCGAAUAAAUAAAAAUUCUGAUGAGAAA